Fukomys damarensis (Damara mole-rat) is the source of this 5641-nucleotide long non-coding RNA. RefSeq lists it as uncharacterized. The record is from RefSeq and is a predicted model, not a curated record. The transcript has 3 exons. NCBI's taxonomy places the organism in Eukaryota, Metazoa, Chordata, Mammalia, Rodentia, Bathyergidae.
AAUCCACAGCCUGGAUCUCCGUCACUGCUAUGUAUGAAGUGCCUAAAAACUGCCAGGCAAAUUAAUAAUAAUGCUUUAAAAAACACUUAAGGAAAUUGCAAUCCGACCCUUUCUAGUACAGGAAGCCGGCGGCACAGUUGUCUUUGUCUUAACGACAGCCGCUGUCUGCCUGACGCUGCUCGCAUGUGGGGGGGGCAUGCUAACGACAUCACUGUGCAUCUCAUCUAUGUCUCGUAAUGUCUCAGAGGAAGCCACCAAUGUUCCUGCUUUCCAGAAGAAAGAGCUGAGAUCUGCAGAGUCACGAAGCCAGUGGGACUCAGUCCAUGCCUGUCUGGCCUCAGCACCACAUCACAUCGUUUUUCAAGAGCGAAUCCCUCGUGGGAAGCUUUGUGAUUUGUGAAACGUCCUUUGGAAACGAUCCUCAUAGCACCAGGAUAAGUCAAUCCCCUUCGGCUCCCGUAGUGCGUUGGUUGACUGCUAUUUCUAUGGGUCUGGGCGUGGGUGAUGUAGGAGGUAGCUGAUUCCCAGGAGCCUUUUCUCUCCCUCUCUUCCAGACCGAGUCCCAGGAAACCUGGAUCUUACUUAGGCUCCAGGUAAACCCUCCAACCCCCUGGAAUAGAGGGAUCUCUCUGCAUUCCUCUCUCCUACGGAGAACGAAGUCUCCUCCCCCAUUGCAAAAACCAAACAGCAGCCAGAAAACUCGAGCAGGAAGCUUACAUUAUGCAACUAGAAUGCCCUUUGUCUGCGUCAACAGGUCUUCUUUUCUCUGAAGUGGACCAGGUAGUAAAAGCUUUUGUCCUCAGGCGCCGAGAUCUCUUCCUGACACCUCAGCUUUUCUCCUGUGCUGCAGGCCCUUCUUACACAGACUAAAAGAUGAGCUCCCUGCGAGCGCACAGUUUACUUCCUGUUGUUUGCCACAUUCCUGAGCCUGGCAAAUCUACAGCAGUAAAUAUGAAAAACAAACAAACAAAAGAAAAGAAAAAAAAAAAACCUUUAGCAUCAAGUUGGCUGUGAAAAACGAAGUGCCCCCUCCCCAGCCUUCUGAGUUCAAAUCCAUGCACUUUUCGUCAUGCUGUACUGCCUCUCUGUUUCCUGUGUCAAGAGCCCAAAACCCAAAUUUUAGGAAAAUGAAGCCACAAAACUGCAAAGCAGGAAAAUGAGGAGCUCCGCAAGAACCCAGGUCUCCUGAUGUCAGGUGACUCAGGCUGUUCUUGCUGUCACAGGCAAGCUGAGGAUUGUGCCCCCAGAUACGAAGUGAAAGCUGAAGCUAGACUCUGUUCUUGCUUUUCCAGCAUGGCAUGGUGGCCCUCGAGUUCAUGGGUUUGUAAGUAUGUGGCGUGUGGAUCUCAGAGCUGUGCAACCAGCCCUUCUCUGUGCUCAGGCCACCUCCGCUGGACACAGCUUCAAAGGCGAGAGUAUGGAGGCAGCGGCAUGUGACCACCAGGUCUGCUCAGACACAGUUAUCUGAGUUGCCAUGUGCGAAGCACCCAUGCUAAAGCUCAAAGCCCGAUACCCGACUCAGCACAGAAGCAAAGUCCCCUGGAGGGCAGAAAGGUUCUCAUCCCUUCUUAUGCCUUUUGGGUCAUGUAACAAUUCCACAUCCCUCUGCAGUGUCACCAGGUGAAGCCGACGGCCCACUGCCUGAUUUCUCCUUUGCCUCUAUGCUUCCAUCUCUCCUGAGAGCCUGAGUAAACACCCAGGAGCUAUGGUUGUCAAGCCAGGGGUGCUCCAAUGAGGACCCCUUCUGGCCUUUUGUAUGUAGGGUUGAGAAUGCCAGAACCCACCAGCUGACAGGCGGCCCUUUCAGAUUCCUCCUGGAAACAGCUUGUUUUGGGUGGUCUGGAGGACCAUGCCCAUCUCUGCCCUGUGAACCUCCUUUCUGCUCUCACCACAGGGAGGACAGAAACAGCGCUGCUGAUGCACUGCUUGUGAAUGGCUGCAGCCAGGCUGGAAAGAAAAGAAGGGUUUGUUUGGUGGUUUGCUCUCUGCAUACUGAGUCAACUGACUGCACAGUGUAAAUUGCCCCCCCCCACAUUUGCCUUUCUCCCAGGUGAUUUUGUCCUCUGGGGAGACAGAACCAAUGGAAAGAGUGAGGCACUGGAAUGAGAGUUCAAAUCCCAGGUCUGUCCUGCUGUAGAUGACUGCAAAACCUUAGUUGUUUUCAGCUUUCCACAUGAGGGCAAGUUCCAGCUUGUACCCUGUGGGGUGAACUAAACUAGUGGAAAAGGAUGUCUUACUGGCCCCAAGAACCAAAGGACAGAAUUCAAGGUGAAUGAAGUUCCUGGAAAGCAAGGAGAAAAUCCUGAAAAGGAAGGAGCCAAAGGAAAUCUAUUCAUAAAUUGCCUGAAUCUCUGACUGACCUCUGAACCAUAUGCGCACACAGGGAAUUGUCUCAAAAACAGCAAAACAAAAGUCACUACUCUUCAGAGGAAUACAACAGAAUCCAGAGUUUCUAUAACAUAUUUUUUACAGUGUCUGGAACAUAAUCCAAAAUUAAUAGAUGUCUGAAGAAAUAGAAAAACGUGUUCAUAUGGAAAAAAAAUUAUAACAACAUAAUAUAGGAUUUAUAAUGUGUGUAGAUCUAAUAUAGAUUAGAACCAUAGCAUAAAUCCCAUGGGCUUUUAAAUUUAAGACAAACUCGGACAAUAUUAACUCUUGGUUGGCUGUGAAACAUUAAGAAUAUAUAUUGUAAUCCUGCAAAUCAACCUGGCAAAAAAGUAAAAUAAGUAAAUGGAAUAGGAGUAUCAGCUUUAUUCGAUUUGCCCCUUUCAGAUAUAUUUCUACUACAGAUUUUCAGGCCCACCCAAUAGCUGUCUCGAUUUCAAACCACAGAAUAAAAGGAUAGCUGAAUCCAGACAGGGAGAGCUCCAGUGCCUCCCUGGAGACCUGACCUCUCCAACCUUCAUGAGAACAAGAAGAAAAGAAAGGGAAUUCAGGAGGGACAUCCCGGUUCAGGGGCAUGAGCAAGGCUGGUGGCAUGUCAGCAGAAAAGGGCAGGGUUACUGAGUGGAAUGACUGGAAAUACACAAAGAAUGUUAGGUGUGAAGCUGCUUCCGGAAGCAGGUGUCUCCUAAGGCCCACCGCUACCAAUUGGCACAUUAAACUAAUUUGGGUAAACAAGCAGCGAAGACUUUUUCUGACAACACUUCUGAUUCUUCUGAGCUACUGCAGAAGGCCCGAAAAGACCAAGCAACGUCACAGUUGUCUCACCCGGCAUGCUCUGUGUCAGCCUGCGCUGGUGCGUCAGGGAGGAGCAGCGAAAGUGACGUGACCUGACGUCAACCCCUCCGUUGAGCGGUCUCACGCUCCCUUGGGACACAGUUUCCAAGCCAGCCGGGAUUAUUUCACAAUCCAUAGCCAAGAAGGCAUGAAGGUACCCGAGAAGACCAUACUACGUUAGCCACAGAUUCCACAUUCAUUUUGUGUAGACGAAAGAAUUGCGAAGACCGGAGGAGUUUGACGGAUACAAAUUAUCCGAGUUUGACGGAUACAAAUUAUCCGGAGCUCUAAACCGUAUGGAAGCGGACUGAAAGUCCUUCCCGUGGUUUCCUGGAGUCAGCACGCCCGACUCAGCCCUGAAGGUGACCACAUCUGGCCUGGUUCUGACUCAGCACCCGCAGCAAGUGUGCCCUUGCUGAAAGGGAUUAUGGCUUGAGAACGAGCGCCUUCUUCAGAGCUGGCCUCGGGGGAGAGGGUUGGGAGAGAGGCUAAAGUAACGACGUGGGUCCGGGAUUUUAUUUCCAAACGUUUACUGGUCUAUUUACAGGGUACAGAUGCAGAGCAGGGUGAGGUGGGUAUGGGAGGGCUGCAGGGCUUCCCUUGCCCUCUCUGGUCGUGCCAACCUCAGGGACCUUCACAUGGUUAGGUCUGCAGAGACUUCCUGUGACCCUUCCUUUUGGGUGUUUGAGGAGAUCUCAUGACCUACCGUGAUCACAUCCUUGGACCUUGGUAAUGGGCUUCACCUGCAGCUAAGGGCAGGCCUAGAAGUACAGCCCUGGCUGACGCUGUGGGCUGUUAUAUCAUUGGGUUCUAUAAGCCAGAAGAGUAAGGGCACAAGAGAGAGAGAGAGAAAAAAAAACAAAACUCCACAGUAAAUCAAAAUAAGCAUUUGUAAAAUCAAAACUCACAAUGAAUAAAAUACCACAAUUUUCCUUCAAGGCAGGCUAUAGCUCCUUGUUUUAUGACCCUGUGUUACGGGGUGAAAAGGAAGGCUUGUCAUUCAUCAGUCCCUGACUUCCCACGAGACCCAGGCCUUCGUUUCUACACCAGCAAAACGAAGUGGUUCUCAGACUUUUUCCUGGGAGCACCCUGUCCCAAUAGACCUUGUGUAGAAGCCAGGGCUCAUCUGUUUGAACUUGGGGUGUGUGCUCCGGUCUGAAUGUAUGGGCACCCCACCCCCCAAAUUCACAAGGUGAAAUCCUACCCUCAAGGCGAUGGUAUUAGAAGGUGGAGUCUCUGGGGAUGCUUAGGUUCAGGGGUGGUUACGGUUAGCGUCCCCAUGAAGAGGCCCAGAAGAGGCCCCUGCCCCUUCCACCCUGUGAGGACACAGCAGGAGGUUGGUGUGUGCUGGAAAGCAGCUCGCACUGGUUGCUUGGCCCUCUCAGCCUCCUGUGUUGCGAGAAAUACUUGCGUCUCAUCUGAUUCCUUGUUUAUGUAUGGUACAUUGUUCCAGCUGCCCCAGUGGACUUGGCGUGGGAAACCCAGUCCUGUACCUGGUGAGCUUUGCUGACCCCAGCACUGGCCUCUGUGGACCCCUCCUCUGCCACGCUCCUCAGAGAACAGCUGGAACACAGAAUUAGAGGAAAGAUGGAUGCCCAUUCUGGUUCUAAUGUUCUCUUCCGGCCCAGGAGAAAGCCCUGCCUGUGCUGCAUGUUGAAAUCUGACUGAAAUGUUUAUCCACAUCAAGAAGCCAGCAGAGCCUCCCGCUGUUGUCUGAGCUUCAGGGUGCGUCCCCCUCUGUCUCGGGCCCCUCCCGCCUGCAGGGCCCUGGGAUUAGCAGAAACAGCGGGAGGAUUUCAUCAGUCUCGGCUGGCUGGUGCAGUUCACAGAGGACAGUGCUCACUGCCAGGCUUUAACAAGAAGCAGGCGCCCUGGGGACGCUGACAAAUGUCUGGGGCUGUCUGCACAGGGCCAGCAGCCAGUGGCAGCCAGCUGGGCUCAACCUGCUGAUAUGUGACAGUCCCAGACCUGAGAAACAACCCAGCACUGAGAGUGAGGAGGUCCCCAUGGUCUUCAGAACCACAGUGAACCCCAUCACCCGCAGUAGCGUCGUCAUCAUCCUGACCACGGGCCCUGUUCCUCCCCUGUCACAGGCCUUCGGAGCUUCGUAGUCUACUCUGAAGAUGCAGGUGACAGGGGGCGGGAGCGUGUGGGGGAACCACGGAGACCGUCAGGGACCCUGCGUCUUCCUCUCAUUGCCAUGUGACCUGAGCCAGGGUUCCAGCUGCCUACACUUCGAGUUUCUUUGCCAAACAAUGGAAAUAUAGCACCCACCACAGCUAUGGUGAGCAGCAUACAUGGGAUUAUGUAAAACAGGGCAUACAGCAGGUGCUCAGUAAACGAUGCCCCCCCGCUUUAGUGUGGCUCCCACCUUCUUGAAGAAAUGGAGCAAGAAAAAAUGUCUUCUUAAAUCAACUUUGAG